GUGGAUUAGAUACCCGGGUAGUCCACGCCGUAAACGAUGGAUACUCGCUGGUGGCGAUAGACGGUCACUGGCUUAGCGAAAGCGUUAAGUAUCCCACCUGGGGAGUACGCCCGCAAGGGUGAAACUCAAAAGAAUUGACGGGGGCCCGCACAAGUGGUGGAGCAUGUGGUUUAAUUCGAUGAUACGCGAGGAACCUUACCUAGGCUAGAAUGCGCGUGACCGCCUCGGAGACGAGGCUUUCCUUCGGGACACAAAGCAAGGUGCUGCACGGCCGUCGACAACU
RNAcentral lists this ribosomal RNA (283 nucleotides) under uncultured bacterium. RNAcentral describes it as "partial 16S ribosomal RNA". It matches the Rfam family "Bacterial small subunit ribosomal RNA", at positions 773 to 1060 of the family's 1533-position model. The record is from RNAcentral.